CCCUUAGAUGUCCGGGGCCGCACGCGCGCUACACUGAAGGAAUCAGCGUGGCUUUCUCCCUGACCCGAAAGGGUUGGGAAACCCGUUGAAUCUCCUUCGUGAUAGGGAUUGGGGCUUGAAAUUGUUCCCCAUGAACGAGGAAUUCCCAGUAAGCGCGAGUCAUAAGCUCGCGUUGAUUUCGUCCCUGCCCUUUGUACACACCGCCCGUCGCUACUACCGAUUGAACGGUUUAGUGAGGGCCUCGGAUUGGUCUCGGCCCGCUCUUUACCGGGCGGCGCCGUUGGUCGAGAAGACGCUCGAACUUGAUCGUUUAGAGGAAGUAAAAGUCGUAACA
Molecule: ribosomal RNA, 334 nt
Filed under: uncultured eukaryote
Lineage: Eukaryota
Description: partial 18S ribosomal RNA
Rfam family: Eukaryotic small subunit ribosomal RNA
Source: RNAcentral